UGUCCAGGCUAUGCUGUCCCUGGCCAUGGCGCAUCAAAGUUUAUUCCCCUGGUAGUUCUGGAAUCUCAAUCCGAACACCCAGGAAUAAAUUCCACUCUUCUCAAACCAGAAAGAGUGGAUUCUGGUGUCUGCGACUAAUCACUGCGACUGGAUACAAAUUCAGAUUCUGAAAUCACCUCUAUUGUGUUUUCUCGUGUGGAAGAAAUACAGAAAAGCUUAAGAAAAACAAGUAUAAAUCAUCUGCAAUCCCACCACCUGGAGCCUGUGGUGGUGUCUGCACAUAUAAAGAAGUAGCCACCUCUUCCAGUAUUUUUGGACAGGAUUUGGGAAGAAAAGACCUUCAUCAGACAGCCUGCCUAAAGAUUCUGGAGAUCUCUCAAACCUUUUCUAUGGACCACUCCACUUCCACUACAUUCUGGGGAGCUGCUCUCCGAUGAUCCAAGCCAUACCAAUUUCCUCAGUGCUCUAAUGUGCCAAGUUUGACUGAUGCUGGAUUUUGUGGUCCACUGGGGUGCUGAUACCUUCAACUGAACUCCAGAGCUCUCAAAAAGCCUACAAGGCCGGAGGAGUCUGGGGACUGCUCGUUUCUCCAGCUUCCUCAGCAUCCAGCUUCCUCCUGGCUCACCCUGCUCCAGCCACACAUCUCCCAAACAGCUAAUCUCCCCACCUCCAACAUGCUGUAAUGGAUCCAAGGCUGGACAUGUGACCUGGGCCCAGCAAACCCAUGCCAGGACUUGCCACAGAACUUUUGUGAACGAGAACCUCUCUUCCCUUGGGGAGCUGUUGGGGCUACCAUCCGCAACAAACUGACUAGACAGUGAGGCCAACAUGGAAAGCAGAGGGCGAAGGUAACUCCUGAUGACACAACGUGAGUUGCUGGGUAAAACCGGACCCGAUGCUGUUUUGACUUGGAUGGGAGUGGACUACAGGGAGCUGGGACCAAAGCCAGCAAAGCAACACACGAGCUUGAGCACUGAUGUUCGUGCAUGUCAGUGUGUUCAGCAUAAACUAUGGAGGGAAGAGGACUCCAGAAAGAGAACCCCUAAGAGCGUGCAUGCACACAUCACGCUCACAGUUCAGGCCACAAUAGUGCGGGUCAUGGCAGGGGGCUGGGAGGACCUACAGUCAACAGAGGAAGGUCUGCUCUAGCUGAAUAGGAGGUUUUACCACAUUGUAGGCAUCUCUGUAUGAUACGCAAUUAGCUUUGAAACAAGAAUAAAAAUAAGGCAUCAGUCAGCUAUAAAGUAGCUUAAUGGGUACAUGAAUCAAAACAGCAUUUAAAUAUGG
Prionailurus viverrinus (fishing cat) is the source of this 1287-nucleotide long non-coding RNA. RefSeq lists it as uncharacterized. The record is from RefSeq and is a predicted model, not a curated record. NCBI's taxonomy places the organism in Eukaryota, Metazoa, Chordata, Mammalia, Carnivora, Felidae. The transcript has 6 exons.